RNAcentral lists this ribosomal RNA (422 nucleotides) under uncultured prokaryote. Its description in RNAcentral is "bacterial SSU rRNA". It matches the Rfam family "Bacterial small subunit ribosomal RNA", at positions 355 to 774 of the family's 1533-position model. The record is from RNAcentral.
UGAGGAAUAUUGGUCAAUGGGCGAGAGCCUGAACCAGCCAAGUCGCGUGAAGGAAGAAGGUUCUAUGGAUUGUAAACUUCUUUUGUAAGGGAAUAGAAAGUAGUACGUGUACUAUAUUGUAUGUACUUUACGAAUAAGGAUCGGCUAACUCCGUGCCAGCAGCCGCGGUAAUACGGAGGAUCCAAGCGUUAUCCGGAUUUAUUGGGUUUAAAGGGUGCGUAGGCGGGUUUUUAAGUCAGUGGUGAAAGUUUGCAGCUCAACUGUAAAAUUGCCAUUGAAACUGAGGGUCUUGAGUGUAAAUAAGGUAGGCGGAAUGUGUUGUGUAGCGGUGAAAUGCUUAGAUAUAACACAGAACACCAAUUGCGAAGGCAGCUUACUGGGAUACAACUGACGCUGAGGCACGAAAGCGUGGGGAGCGAACA